CACGUAGGGGGCAAGCGUUGUCCGGAUUUAUUGGGCGUAAAGAGCUCGUAGGUGGUUCGGUAAGUCGGGUGUUAAACCCCCAGGCUCAACCUGGGGACGCCACUCGAUACUGCUGUGACUAGAGUCCGGUAGGGGAGCGUGGAAUUCCUGGUGUAGCGGUGAAAUGCGUAGAUAUCUGGAGGAACACCGGUGGCGAAGGCGGCGUUCUGGACUGCAACUGACACUGAGGAACGAAAGCCAGGGGAGCAAACGGG
RNAcentral lists this ribosomal RNA (254 nucleotides) under uncultured bacterium. RNAcentral's name for it is "partial 16S ribosomal RNA". It matches the Rfam family "Bacterial small subunit ribosomal RNA", at positions 524 to 776 of the family's 1533-position model. The record is from RNAcentral.